AGAACGAACGCUGGCGGCAGGCCUAACACAUGCAAGUCGAGCGCACCUUCGGGUGAGCGGCGGACGGGUGAGUAACGCGUGGGAAUAUGCCCUUCUCUACGGAAUAGCCUCGGGAAACUGAGAGUAAUACCGUAUACGCCCUUCGGGGGAAAGAUUUAUCGGAGAAGGAUUAGCCCGCGUUGGAUUAGGUAGUUGGUGGGGUAAUGGCCUACCAAGCCGACGAUCCAUAGCUGGUUUGAGAGGAUGAUCAGCCACACUGGGACUGAGACACGGCCCAGACUCCUACGGGAGGCAGCAGUGGGGAAUCUUAGACAAUGGGGGAAACCCUGAUCUAGCCAUGCCGCGUGAGUGACGAAGGCCCUAGGGUCGUAAAGCUCUUUCAGCUGUGAAGAUAAUGACGGUAGCAGCAGAAGAAACCCCGGCUAACUCCGUGCCAGCAGCCGCGGUAAUACGGAGGGGGUUAGCGUUGUUCGGAAUUACUGGGCGUAAAGCGCGCGUAGGCGGACUAUUAAGUCAGGGGUGAAAUCCCGGGGCUCAACCCCGGAACUGCCCUUGAUACUGGUAGUCUUGAGUUCGAGAGAGGUGAGUGGAAUUCCGAGUGUAGAGGUGAAAUUCGUAGAUAUUCGGAGGAACACCAGUGGCGAAGGCGGCUCACUGGCUCGAUACUGACG
RNAcentral lists this ribosomal RNA (671 nucleotides) under Rhodobacteraceae bacterium Pbc-contq2b. RNAcentral's name for it is "bacterial SSU rRNA". It matches the Rfam family "Bacterial small subunit ribosomal RNA", at positions 26 to 745 of the family's 1533-position model. Lineage: Bacteria; Pseudomonadati; Pseudomonadota; Alphaproteobacteria; Rhodobacterales; Paracoccaceae. The record is from RNAcentral.